Molecule: ribosomal RNA, 502 nt
Filed under: uncultured bacterium
Lineage: Bacteria
Description: partial 16S ribosomal RNA
Rfam family: Bacterial small subunit ribosomal RNA
Source: RNAcentral
GAUGAACGCUAGCGGCAGGCCUAACACAUGCAAGUCGAGGGGCAGCACAGAAACAGCAAUGUUUUGGUGGCGACCGGCGGACGGGUGCGUAACGCGUAUGCAGCCUACCUUUAACAGGGGGAUAACGGAGAGAAAUUUCCACUAAUACCCCAUAACAUCGAUCAAGGCAUCUUGAUUGGUUGAAAACUCCGGUGGUUAAAGAUGGGCAUGCGUUGUAUUAGGUAGUUGGUGAGGUAAUGGCUAACCAAGCCUACGAUACAUAGGGGGACUGAGAGGUUAGCCCCCCACACUGGUACUGAGAAACGGACCAGACUCCUACGGGAGGCAGCAGUGAGGAAUAUUGGUCAAUGGGGGCAACCCUGAACCAGCCAUGCCGCGUGCAGGAAGACGGCUCUAUGAGUUGUAAACUGCUUUUAAACAGGGAUAAAGCACAGUAUGUAUACUGUGUUGAAGGUACUGUAAGAAUAAGGAUCGGCUAACUCCGUGCCAGCCGCCGCCGUAA